RNAcentral lists this ribosomal RNA (413 nucleotides) under uncultured prokaryote. Its description in RNAcentral is "bacterial SSU rRNA". It matches the Rfam family "Bacterial small subunit ribosomal RNA", at positions 355 to 785 of the family's 1533-position model. The record is from RNAcentral.
UGGGGAAUCUUGCACAAUGGGCGAAAGCCUGAUGCAGCCAUGCCGCGUGAAUGAUGAAGGCCUUAGGGUUGUAAAAUUCUUUCGCCAGGGAUGAUAAUGACAGUACCUGGUAAAGAAGCCCCGGCUAACUUCGUGCCAGCAGCCGCGGUAAUACGAAGGGGGCUAGCGUUGUUCGGAAUUACUGGGCGUAAAGCGCGCGUAGGCGGGUUUUUAAGCCAGAUGUGAAAUCCCCUGGCUCAACCAGGGAAGUGCAGUCGAUACUGGCGGGCUCGAGUCCCGGAGAGGGUGGUAGAAUUCCCAGUGUAGAGGUGAAAUUCGUAGAUAUUGGGAGGAAUACCGGUGGCGAAGGCGACCGCCUGGACGGGUACUGACACUGAGGCGCGAAAGCGUGGGGAGCAAACAGGAUUAGAUAC